RNAcentral lists this ribosomal RNA (415 nucleotides) under uncultured archaeon. RNAcentral's name for it is "bacterial SSU rRNA". It matches the Rfam family "Archaeal small subunit ribosomal RNA", at positions 1 to 385 of the family's 1478-position model. The record is from RNAcentral.
UUCGCCCUUGUUGAUCCUGCCGGACCCUACUGCUAUCGGGGUGGGACUAAGACAUGCUAGUCGUGCGUCUCUAAGCCAUGGUAGAGACGCGGCGUACGGCUCAGUAACACGUGGUUAACCUACCCUUAGGACGGGGACAACCCCGGGAAACUGGGGCUAAUUUCUGAUAGGUGAGGAGGCCUGGAAUGGUUCCUCGCCGAAAAGGCGUUGAAACCAUGCUUUUCAACGUCGCCUAAGGAUGGGGCCGCGCCCGAUCAGGUUGUUGGUGAGGUAACGGCUCACCAAGCCUAUAACCGGUACGGGCCGUGAGAGCGGGAGCCCGGAGAUGGGCACUGAGACAAGGGCCCAGGCCCUACGGGGCGCAGCAGUCGCGAAAACUCCGCAAUGCGCGAAAGCGUGACGGGGCUACCCCGAG